This 253-nucleotide ribosomal RNA is filed under the name uncultured bacterium. RNAcentral describes it as "partial 16S ribosomal RNA". It matches the Rfam family "Bacterial small subunit ribosomal RNA", at positions 524 to 776 of the family's 1533-position model. The record is from RNAcentral.
UACGUAGGUGGCAAGCGUUGUCCGGAUUUACUGGGCGUAAAGGAUGCGUAGGCGGAUGUUUAAGUGAGAUGUGAAAUACCCGAGCUCAACUUGGGUGCUGCAUUUCAAACUGGAUAUCUAGAGUGCAGGAGAGGAAAGCGGAAUUCCUAGUGUAGCGGUGAAAUGCGUAGAGAUUAGGAAGAACACCAGUGGCGAAGGCGCUUUCUGGACUGUAACUGACGGUUGAGGCAUGAAAGCGUGGGGAGCAAACAGG